This 253-nucleotide ribosomal RNA is filed under the name uncultured bacterium. RNAcentral describes it as "partial 16S ribosomal RNA". It matches the Rfam family "Bacterial small subunit ribosomal RNA", at positions 524 to 776 of the family's 1533-position model. The record is from RNAcentral.
UACGUAGGGUGCAAGCGUUAAUCGGAAUGACUGGGCGUAAAGGGUGCGCAGGCGGUUUGUUAAGACGGAUGUGAAAGCCCCGGGCUUAACCUGGGAAUAGCAUACGUGACUAGCAAACUAGAAUAUGGCAGAGGGAGGUGGAAUUCCAUGUGUAGCAGUGAAAUGCGUAGAGAUGUGGAGGAACACCGAUGGCGAAGGCAGCCUCCUGGGCCUGCACUGACGCUCAUGCACGAAAGCGUGGGGAGCAAACAGG